GAGCUUCCGCAGAGAUCCUGCAGAUGUGAUUCAAGUCUUCCAGCAACACCACCUCACUCUGCUUUGCACAAUCACUCCACCUCCCCACAUGUUGCGGAGAUUCUCCUGGGGAUUCACACUUUUCCUACUUGUGACACAGGAAACAUCCUCCACCAGGUCUUCUCUCACAGUGUGGCCUCUGCGCACAGAUUAUCCACCUGUAGACCUGGACGGGACCCUCGAGGCUCCCUACUCUGACCAUCUGGUUUUAUAGUUGAGGAACCAGAAGCCGAGGCAGGGUCUCGACGGUGAAGAGCAGGCUGUUUCCAUCUUCAGGAUAGAAGCCACCUGCGCAUAGGAAGAGGGUCCAGAGGCUCAUCUGGAAUCCCUCCUCACUCACUGGACGGAGGACCUGACCCCGUUCCCAUCAUUGGUUCUGAAUCCAUCAGCCCAGCAAGACAGGUCUCUCCAGCAAGUUCUGUAAAAUACAACCAUAGCUGGGCCUGGAGUCAGCCCCUGAUAAAAGGGUUCACCAUG
RNAcentral lists this non-coding RNA (516 nucleotides) under Pan troglodytes (chimpanzee). The record is from RNAcentral. Lineage: Eukaryota; Metazoa; Chordata; Mammalia; Primates; Hominidae.